Molecule: ribosomal RNA, 406 nt
Filed under: uncultured bacterium
Lineage: Bacteria
Description: bacterial SSU rRNA
Rfam family: Bacterial small subunit ribosomal RNA
Source: RNAcentral
AAUGAACGCUGGCGGCGCGCCUAAUACAUGCAAGUCGAGCGAGAAGACGUAGCAAUACGUUUGUAAAGCGGCGAACGGGUGAGGAAUACAUGGGUAACCUACCCUAGAGUGGGGAAUAACUAGCCGAAAGGUUAGCUAAUACCGCGUACGCUCCUUGGACUUCGGUUCAGGGAGGAAAGCGAUGCCGAGGGUAUCGCGCUCUUGGGAUGGGCUCAUGUCCUAUCAGCUUGUUGGGAGGUAACGGCUCACCAAGGCUUCGACGGGUAGCUGGUCUGAGAGGACGAUCAGCCACACUGGCACUGCGACACGGGGCCAGGACUCCUACGGGAGGCAGCAGUAAGGAAUAUUGCGCAAUGGGCGAAAGCCUGACGCAGCGACGCCGCGGUGGGGGAUGGAAGGUCUUCGG